This is a long non-coding RNA of Lotus japonicus, 1394 nucleotides long. RefSeq lists it as uncharacterized. The transcript is spliced from 2 exons. Lineage: Eukaryota; Viridiplantae; Streptophyta; Magnoliopsida; Fabales; Fabaceae. The record is from RefSeq and is a predicted model, not a curated record.
UUUCGGAACUCUGGACUGUACGCACGAUAGGUUUCACUUUUCCGAUGUCCGCCGACGCUAAUUUCUUUGCUUCGAAACCCUAGAUUCGAGCGAUGGAUGAAGACUUUUUCUAUUCGGGACUUCUAACGAAGUUUCCGUCCGCGUUGCCAGAUUUGUUUCGACGUUUCCAAUCUUUCUUCAGAAGGAAGUUUUCUCAUCCGACAUCAAUUGCAAAAAGUAGUUUUGCGGUAUAUUUUGAAGCAUACUGCGUUCAAGCCAUUUUCUCACUUAAAUGAACCCAAUGCAAGUAUCGUCCUUUCUUGGAUCGAUACUUAGAUUAAUUACAUAAUAUGACAACGUCAUAUUUGUUCUAAUUGUCUAACAAUUAUUCUUUAGCUCUGUUUCUACUCAUUUCUUGGUUUAUGGAUCAUUUUAUUUUGCUCAAAGUGAUUCAAAUUUAUAUUUUAUCAUUUCAUAAAGUUCCUCAUAAUUUUUGGGCUAAUAAUAUAUCACCCUUAUAUUUUUAUCUUAACUCUAUGAGUUAAAUCAUUCAGCGUCUAAAUUAAUCUGUACCGAUUAAUAAAUAUCUCAUCCUUUUUACUUGGCCUUUCUUGCUCCACGUCUUUCAUUUUGGCCAAUCCAUUCAUUUUACCACAUGUUUCUAUUUUAUUCAUUCCAAAUUUCUUUCCCUGGCAGAAUGCGCACACCGUAGUCCCUCUGUUUCUCUUAUUCACGUCUUUUUUCCCUCACCACUCUCUUUACUCUCAUUUUCAAUUGGUUUCUGCAGCAAUUUAUAAUCCUUGUUCCUUUCAUCUUGUUCUCAUCACCAACCUCAUCUCGUUCAUUUUCUUUGUGGCAGCGCCCACACACAACUGUGCCUUCUUCCUUCAUGAUCAAACCACCACCACCUCUAAGGCAUUUUCAUGGCGUCUGUCAGCCGGUUCGUGAUGAUUCGUUGUGCGGGAAAGACCCGGAGCGGAACGACUAUUACUGAAGCUUUCGACGAGGACCCGGACUUCAUGCCUGAUCGAGGGAGGGUCGAUGAUAGUAGUGUGGGGUAUGGGUGGUUAGAGUCUUUUGGAGUUGGUUGUUACUGUAAUAGCUCUGAUUCGUUUUGCUUUUGGGACAGGGUAGGUUCCCGAUGCAUGGCUUUUUGUGUGGUUCUCUUACGGAGGGAUCACAGUGAGUCAGUCGGACCAUAGGGGUCUUUGCUUAGGCCAUUUUGAGGCCGACUUUCUCCUAGUGGUUUGUAAUUAUACUUUUUCUCACUCACACUUCUGGAUCUGUAAAUAUUUGCCUACGGGCACACUACUUUGGAGUCACUGCGAGUGUGUGUGACGUGGAAGUGCAGCUGAGGCUGUACAUGUUUAUAUUUGAUAUAUAUUGGUUAGUUUAGUAGUUGAGUUUUGUCUUUA